GAUGAACGCUGGCGGCGUGCCUAAUACAUGCAAGUCGAGCGAACAGACGAGGAGCUUGCUCCUUUGACGUUAGCGGCGGACGGGUGAGUAACACGUGGGUAACCUACCAAUAAGACUGGGAUAACUUCGGGAAACCGGAGCUAAUACCGGAUAAUAUUUCGAACCGCAUGGUUCGAUAGUGAAAGAUGGCUUUGCUAUCACUUAUAGAUGGACCUGCGCCGUAUUAGCUAGUUGGUAAGGUAACGGCUUACCAAGGCAACGAUACGUAGCCGACCUGAGAGGGUGAUCGGCCACACUGGAACUGAGACACGGUCCAGACUCCUACGGGAGGCAGCAGUAGGGAAUCUUCCGCAAUGGGCGAAAGCCUGACGGAGCAACGCCGCGUGAGUGAUGAAGGUCUUCGGAUCGUAAAACUCUGUUAUUAGGGAAGAACAAACGUGUAAGUAACUGUGCACGUCUUGACGGUACCUAAUCAGAAAGCCACGGCUAACUACGUG
RNAcentral lists this ribosomal RNA (497 nucleotides) under uncultured bacterium. RNAcentral describes it as "partial 16S ribosomal RNA". It matches the Rfam family "Bacterial small subunit ribosomal RNA", at positions 28 to 507 of the family's 1533-position model. The record is from RNAcentral.